Molecule: long non-coding RNA, 1019 nt
Filed under: Chinchilla lanigera (long-tailed chinchilla)
Lineage: Eukaryota; Metazoa; Chordata; Mammalia; Rodentia; Chinchillidae
Description: lncRNA (ENSCLAG00000027456.1)
Source: RNAcentral
CACGAACUCAGUCCCUCAAGGCAGCCGAUCCAGUACAUGGAGGUCACCUCAGUGUGUCUGUCAUUGUGAUGCAGCCUGAGAGACUAAGAAGAGUAAGUCAUGGGAACAGGAGGAAUGUCCUGCUAGCAAGGAGUUUAUCUUCCAGAGCAAAGUGAUGAGACUGAAAUGCCAAGGAAAAAAAUGGGGGAAACUCUCUCAGUGUUGAGAGGAAGACGAAAUUCCUCUUGAUGUGGUCUUCACAGCAAUGGAUGAGCAAAGACUCUGCAGAAGAGAUGACAUCUGGGAUCAAACUCAAGGAGGGAACUGACUUGGCCAAAGAAUAUGGACCUCUUUCUGGGGAACAGCAUCUCCUUUGGUACAAAGCCAACUGUGUCGGGCAGAGCUCUAAGCCUCAUUCUGAUGUUAUUAGCUUGGUGUUCUAAGCCAGUAACUAGCAUGUCACCUGGCAACUGAGCAGAAGAGAGGAGGCUUACGAGGUCCUGAGGGAAGCUGUUCAUGUGCAAGCUCUCUGCUGGUGACAGCAAAAUGUAAGUGAUGGGAUCCCAGUGUCUGUCUUGUUUGCAGAGGUUAUUGAGGGACUAUGAACAAAAAUUGGGAGAAAAAGCAAACCGGUGCUGACAUCUCAAUUUGGUUUUGUAGCUACAGUGGGCUACAUGGGAUAGAGGGCUCGUAGUCACUGUACCCUUAGUGUGAAGAUGCUGUGGCCCUCCUCAGUGGCACUACACGUGAGCACAGCCUUUGUGGCAGAUGCUUAAUUAUGUGCAUCACAGAUGUCAGCUGAGGCCUGGAGGAGUCCACUAAACUUGACCCACACUCAAUACCAAUACUCAUGAGAGCCUUGAAUCCACAUCACAAUUGCUGCAGAUACCCACAGUCUACAACACCAUGCUUCAUCCUCUGCCCUGCAUCCGUUAGAGGAACAGGCUCCACUUCUUUCUCUGCCCUUCGCAGAAAUCUACUUAUGCCCAGGUCUUUGUGAGUUGGACAACUUUGCUGAAAAUUGGGGUCCCCAGGGGGAG